Molecule: ribosomal RNA, 285 nt
Filed under: Parastrongyloides trichosuri
Lineage: Eukaryota; Metazoa; Nematoda; Chromadorea; Rhabditida; Strongyloididae
Description: partial 28S ribosomal RNA
Rfam family: Eukaryotic large subunit ribosomal RNA
Source: RNAcentral
CCAAGGAGUGUAUUGCUAUGGCAAGUCAUUAAUAUUGUUAAUAUUAAAGGCGUAAUGAAAAUAAUUUUAUCUCAGAUAAUUAUUUUUUAUAAUAAUUCGCAUGAGAGACGUGGAUAUAAGAUUUAUCUUUUUCCGCAGUUAUAGCCAUAGUAGUGCGACCCGAAAGAUGGUGAACUAUGCUAGCGCAGGGUAAAGUCAGAAGAAAUUCUGAUGGAAGCUCGAAGCGGUCCUGACGUGCAAAUCGGUCGUCUGACGUUAGUAUAGGGGCGAAAGACUAAUCGAACC